AUGCCUGGAGAGGUACGUGGACAGCGACGUGGUCCGGGUGCUGCCGGACUGCGGCCACCUGUUCCACCGCGGGUGCGUCGACCCCUGGCUCCGGCGGCGGCCCACGUGCCCCGUUUGCCGGACCUCGCCUCUGCCCAGCCCCGUGCCGACGCCGCUCGUCGAGGUGACGCCCCUGGCGCUGGUCAGGCCGGCGUGGGGCGAUCAGGCGAGCGGACACGACCGGACACGACGUUCUUGAACUCUUGGCUUGCUCUCUGUUUUCCUUUUUUUUCCUUUAUUACACAGACCGCUCUUUAUUUUCUUCCCGUCUCCAUUAGUUUUUAUAUAUACGGCUGGAUGCCACAUGUAAUUAGAAGGUGA
This 360-nucleotide ribosomal RNA is filed under the name Triticum aestivum (bread wheat). RNAcentral's name for it is "partial small subunit ribosomal RNA". The record is from RNAcentral. Lineage: Eukaryota; Viridiplantae; Streptophyta; Magnoliopsida; Poales; Poaceae.